RNAcentral lists this ribosomal RNA (614 nucleotides) under Hammondia triffittae. RNAcentral describes it as "LSU rRNA". It matches the Rfam family "Eukaryotic large subunit ribosomal RNA", at positions 399 to 944 of the family's 3401-position model. The record is from RNAcentral. Lineage: Eukaryota; Apicomplexa; Conoidasida; Eucoccidiorida; Sarcocystidae.
CUGAAAUUGCUGAAAAGGAAGCGAUUGGGACCCUUCCGAUUCCAAGAAGUGCCGCCGGGGUUUGCCAUCUAUCCCUUUGCCUUCUCUCUCUCACCAGGUUUAGGCUUAGGUUUUUCGAUGUAUUUCCGGUUAAUCUUUUUGGAGAGGUCAGCAUCAGCUACUCGGAAUUGAUUUCGUUCAAAGAAGGUAGGUUCCUUGUGGACCCUUAUAACUUUGUUCUUUCCUUUUCCUUGUGGCUGAGGAGUGUUUUGGUUUCCGAGCUCCACUUUCGAGUACUCGGUUUCUGUGAUGCUGGCUUAAUCGGUUCCAACCGACCCGUCUUGAAACACGGACCAAGGAGUCUAACAUAUGUGCGAGUAUGCGGGUUUUACUCCUGUAUGCGCAAUGAAAGUGAGAGUAGGGAGAUUUUGGCUUUGCCAUUCUUCGCACCUACGACCGACCACGAUCUCUGAGAGAGGUUUGAGUUGGAGCAUAUCUGUUAGGACCCGAAAGAUGGUGAACUAUGCCUGAGUAGAAUGAAGUCAGGGGAAACCCUGAUGGAGGUUCGUAGCGAUACUGACGUGCAAAUCGUUCGUCAAACUUGGGUAUAGGGGCGAAAGACUAAUCGAACCAUC